RNAcentral lists this long non-coding RNA (1882 nucleotides) under Setaria italica (foxtail millet). RNAcentral's name for it is "long non-coding RNA (SITA_LNC000992)". The record is from RNAcentral. Lineage: Eukaryota; Viridiplantae; Streptophyta; Magnoliopsida; Poales; Poaceae.
AUUCGAUGUGACAGGUGCUAAACUUUAGCAGAGGUAUCGUUUGGGGCCUCAUUCUCUGACAUUGAACUGAUACUCACUAUCUUGGGUGGAAGUACGGAAAGACUAAUAGCGGUAGGCAUGAAUUCGGACAAUGAUCGCUUGCCAGAGACUUGCCCAAUGCACGUAGAGAAGCAUCCGUCUCAGAGACUGAAGCACGCUGUGAGCCUUCAUCUAAUAUGAGCUCUUGCUGCUGUGGUUCUUUCCUUGACUUUUUGGCUGUUGAAGAUUCAGGAUCACUACUAUGUUCGUCAUCACCAGAUGUGGCAUCAACAGGUGAGCUUUGACAUUUCCCAGAUGCAGAUUGCUGCCUCAAGUUAGCCUGUCUCUGCAUAAUUAAAGAAAUACCAAGAUGGAUCAUGCAAAUUCAGUUGCAGAGUAGGAUGAAAAGUUAAAAAUUUCAGAGGAACCAAUGCAUUGAACCAUAUGCAUCCAAGUUCAUAUGAACUAGUUAAAUGCCCUUAGCAGUAACUCUUACAGUAUGGCAACAAACAAUGUGAAUUGCAAAGCUAGGAAGCACAGGUACUAAAUGUGUUCACCGCAUUGCCUUAUCGCUCGGAAUCGUCCAAUGCUUGCCGUUCCACAUGUACAGCGGAAUUUCGUUGCCAUUUGGAAGCGCACGCCAUAGGGUUGGGCCAUCCGUUCCUCGCAUUUUCCCCGAGUAGAUCCUCACCACCUCGAAGGUCCGGACGCCGCUUCCUCGUGCGGCUCCCCAAGCGACGCCGAUCCGACUCCUCAUCCAAGCGCCGCCGCUGCUCCGAGCCUCCGUCUCCUCAUCUAGGCGCCACUGUCCCUCCGUCUCCCAUCCAAGCACUGCCGCCGCUCCUAGCCUCCGACUCUGUCAAUCUGCCUCCGUGUCCAUACAUCGUCGUGUCCCCUCCCCGUUGUUUGCAAUGCCACCUCCACCCACGGAUCUCUACCUCCGCUACCUCCUCCGCAUCCACCAUGGCGCCUCAACCUCAUCUUCCUCCUCGACACCCACUGCGAUGUGAGUUCUUCCUCCUUCCUCCUCUUAUCAGAUUGCCUAGGGUUUGCUCUUCUCAUGGCUGCAAUGUGAAUUCUUGUAGUUAACAUCUCGAUUCCCAAUUCUUCUGUCUGAGAUCCAAUCCUAGGAACAUCAACUAACCAGCACGAGCACCAGCACUGAUUCAAUUUUUUUAGUUAGAUAUAUAUGUUCAAGUCCUACAGAUAUGUACUCAUCAAAUUUUUAAGAUGAACACAAACAUUGCAGUAAGAAUGUAUAGUUAUAUGUUUCUUGCCUAUUUCAUUUUUCUUAUCGCAUUCUCCUUGUCAACCAUCCAUUUGUUUGUGCUGUCAUUUCAGUAGGUUAUCUGAAUUGGAAAAAAUAUUUACAUUGAUGCUGCACAAGUCAUCUUUGGUCUUUACACAAUCCUAGUAAUUAGUUAACUCUACUGCAAUAAAAAAUGCAUUUCUUGUUUCUUAACUAAACUGAAUUUUAGUUAACUUUGACAUCUCACGAGCUACUACUGAAUAAUUUUCUGCUUAACACUAUUGGUUACUAAUAACUUAAUUAAUUGCCUAAUCACGAUGAAUACUACCAAGGGUGGUUGUAAGUUUUUUUUUAGAUCAGGGUGGUUGUAAGUUGUAACACUCGGGCUGUGUGUAUCAGACACCUGUGCAGAGGUUGGAACUAUCUUUCAUUUUGUUUUAAGGAAAAAAAAAAGAUAGCGGUAGUACUGAUUAAAAAGCAGCAUUUGAAAGCAAUCUUACUAGAGUGUCUCUUGAAUCUUCAUAUACUGCGAUACACUGGCACUGAUGUUAUAUAUCUUGCUCAAUGCAUCUGCUUAUAAUAGUUUGCAUACGACGGAGAAGGUGACUGUAUAAA